RNAcentral lists this ribosomal RNA (507 nucleotides) under uncultured bacterium. Its description in RNAcentral is "partial 16S ribosomal RNA". It matches the Rfam family "Bacterial small subunit ribosomal RNA", at positions 28 to 507 of the family's 1533-position model. The record is from RNAcentral.
GACGAACGCUGGCGGUGUGCUUAAUACAUGCAAGUCGAACGGAUUUUUUUUCACUGUUGCUUGCUACACCGAUAGAACAUGAGUGGCGAGCGGUUGAGUAACACCUGGCUCACCUGCCCAUCACCGGGGGCUAAUACUUGGAAACAGGUGCUAAUACUGCAUAAAUCCAUUUACCGCGUGUUAGUAGGGAGAUAGGCGCUUUUGCGCCACUGAUGGCAGGAAUCGCGGUGCAUUAGCUAGUUGGUGGGGUACCGGCCUACCAUGUGGGGGAUGCAUAGCCGACCAAAGAAGGUAUUCGGAGACACUGUGACAGAGACACGGCCCAGACUGGUACGGGAGGAAGCAGUAGAGAAUCUUCGGCGGUGGACGCAAGUCUGACCGAGCAACGCCGCGAGGGUGAAGAAGGUAUUCGGGUCGUAAAGCACUGUUGUUAGGGAAGAACAAGGAUUUGUGUGAAAAGUGCAUCCCUUGACGGUAUCUAACCAGAAAGCCACGGCUAACUACGUG